Molecule: unclassified non-coding RNA, 356 nt
Filed under: rhizosphere metagenome
Description: partial ribosomal RNA internal transcribed spacer region
Source: RNAcentral
GUAGGUGAACCUGCGGAAGGAUCAUUAACACGUAUCACCCUGUGAACUUUCAGACGCUCUUGUAGCCCAAGCGGAACAGCAAUCCCGGUAAAUCAAUGGCGAAAAGAGUUUUGAUUCGGGACCUCUGUCCAUCAGGUUACAAUAGAAGCUAGGAGCAGUGGCAUGGUUUCCUGAAGCAGUGCCGAAGGAUGCACUGAGUAUGGAUAACGCAUCACGGUUGCCAGAGGUCGAUCACCGGCCGGCAGACAUGUCACAGGGCUACAUGCCCCUUAAUUCACCCCUUGCCUAAUCACGCCCCGCGGAAACGCCGGGCACUAAAAACCGAACAACUGUUAACAAUGGAUAUCUUGGUUCUC